RNAcentral lists this transfer RNA (66 nucleotides) under Psolodesmus mandarinus. RNAcentral's name for it is "tRNA-Ser". Lineage: Eukaryota; Metazoa; Arthropoda; Insecta; Odonata; Calopterygidae. The record is from RNAcentral.
AGCCCGUAAGCUUUAAGAAGCAUGUAUUUUGAAAGUAUAAGAUAAGGAUAAGAGCCUUACGGGCUU